This 440-nucleotide ribosomal RNA is filed under the name uncultured Alphaproteobacteria bacterium. RNAcentral's name for it is "bacterial SSU rRNA". It matches the Rfam family "Bacterial small subunit ribosomal RNA", at positions 43 to 527 of the family's 1533-position model. Lineage: Bacteria; Pseudomonadati; Pseudomonadota; Alphaproteobacteria. The record is from RNAcentral.
CAGGCCUAACACAUGCAAGUCGAGCGGGUGUAGCAAUACACCAGCGGCAGACGGGAGAGUAACACGUGGGAACGUGCCCUUCAGUUCGGAACAACCCAGGGAAACUUGGGCUAAUACCGGAUACGUCCGUAAGGAGAAAGAUUUAUCGCUGAAGGAUCGGCCCGCGUCUGAUUAGCUUGUUGGUGAGGUAACGGCUCACCAAGGCGACGAUCAGUAGCUGGUCUGAGAGGAUGAUCAGCCUCACUGGGACUGAGACACGGCCCAGACUCCUACGGGAGGCAGCAGUAGGGAAUAUUGGACAAUGGGCGCAAGCCUGAUCCAGCCAUGCCGCGUGGGUGAUGAAGGCCCUAGGGUUGUAAAGCCCUUUCGGCGGGGAAGAUAAUGACGGUACCCGCAGAAGAAGCCCCGGCUAACUUCGUGCCAGCAGCCGCGGUAAUACA